This is an RNA transcript of Zea mays, 4243 nucleotides long. RefSeq lists it as uncharacterized. The transcript has 5 exons. NCBI's taxonomy places the organism in Eukaryota, Viridiplantae, Streptophyta, Magnoliopsida, Poales, Poaceae. The record is from RefSeq and is marked validated.
CGUUCGGCCCGGCUGAAAGGGCCCGUCGAGGCCCAGCAGGAAUUUCUCGGCCCCUUUCACACACCAAAAAAAAAACCAGGUGAGGAAUCUACCAAUUGAUUUUCUUCACCCGUCCACCUCGUCUUGCGCUCCUCUGUCUCGGCGACGACUGUGCUACCGCCGCCGCCGCCGCAAGACUUCGUCGGGCACUUUGCCGGCGACGAUUUCCCACCAGGUGCUUGCUAUGGAACUUUUGAGGCGUUCAGAUACAAGAUCCCUGGAUUGCUAAAGAUCAGAUACAUUGGGCAAACCACCGUUGGCAGCGCUGCGAUUUUUGGGCUUUUCUUGGGGGCUGGGAGCUUGAUUCACUGUGGAAAAUCCUACUAGUUUGUUUCCCUUUUUUUUUCUGAAGUCUGAACACACCUUUGUCGAUGGGCUUCAGUGAAAACUAUUCAAUGCCUGUUUCAUGUAACAGCUAAUAGCUCAGGGUUGGAAAAGAACAAUCAAGUUAUGUCCUAGUUUUGGUGUGGAUGGAAAUAGAAUCAACGUUCAUCUGCACGAGAAUCGUCAAUUUCUCAUCUAGCGUCUUAUGUUCUCAUCUCAUUUUCUUUAAAAACGUAAGGAAUUCUUUACUCACCAUAUACUUUAGCUCGGCAGGGCGCCGCGAAGCGCGCAACUUUUUGUUUACUAGUACUUAUUAGCAGCCGGUGAAGUAAUAAAAGUGCGUACAGCUUUGCUUUACUUUUUGUUUACCUAUUGCAUCCCUACUUUGGCUCUGUAGUGUCCUGCCAGCGGCCUGCGUACUUAGGCCUAAUUUGAUAGGCCAUGAGUAUGUGGCCAGCUGAGUGGCGCGCAGGCCAUAAAUGCGCUGCAGUCAGAGGGGCUACUUCUACCGUCGCGAGUACUGCACCGCGUGCGCGUCCUCCACGACCAGACACGUGUCCCGCCAGUCCUCGACCGCGCCGGCAACACGGUUCACUCCACCACGUCCUCGCGCGAGUGCGUGUCUCAGGUGUUAGCCACGACGACUGGCCACCCGGCUGCUCCGGUCCGUCAGUUAAGACCCAGCACUCGUCCUUCAUCGCUCUCGGUCCAUCAGCACGAGCCCGUAUGACCUUCACCUCGGCCGUCGACCACCAUCCCUAUGCUCCACACCUACACACCACAAGCCGACCGAUAUGGUUGCACAAAACAUAAUCUCACACUCUGGUCAGUCCACAGACUACCACAGAGUGCUAUUCGUUGAUAAUCACUCAUCAUCAACCCGAACCACAAGGGAAGAGACAAAUCAACCUUGUGUUCGCACUUUUCCAACCCUAUUUCUCCACAAGCCGACCACAAAGGUCAAGGCAAAUCCUUUCCUUAAACUUGCUCAACGAGCGGGAGAUACAAACUUCUUGGGGUCUUCCACAAGUUGGAGACUCCCAAGCACACACAAACCGUCAAGGAACCAAAGUUCCAAGAGUAAUAAAUUCGCACAAGUGAAGUUUGCAAAACGAGCUCAAGUGAGGGAGAGGGAGGAGGAGAGUGAAAAACCAACAACAAAUCAACGAACGUCACCUCACACCGAAGAUCCUCCAACCGUUGGAAGAGGAUGCGAUUUGAGGUGUGGGAGAUAGAGUUAGAGCGCUUGUUUUGAGUUUGGUGAGCAGUAAAGUCAGGGAGAGUGGCUGAAGUAAAUGAGGAGAGAGAGGGAAAGGGGAGUAUAUAUAGGUGUCCCUCUCUCAGGGCAGAAGAUUUGAAAAAUCUGUGCAAAGGUCGGUUGAACCGCACCCAGGGCCGGUUCAACCGUCUGAUAGGUCAGACCUAUCAGAACGGCCUUCUGACUAAAGGUCGGUUGAACCGCACCCUAGGGCCGGUUCAACCGCUAUUUUCCAGAGAGGUCUGAGUAUAAAGUCCGGUUGAACCAGCCAACAGGGCGAGGUUCAACCGCAUUUUGUCAGAGAGGUUUGCGAGGCCGGUUCAACCGCUUUUUACCAGAGACUUCCGGAACAGAGUCCGGUUGAACCGCACCCUAGGGCCGGUUCAACCACACUUUUCCAGAGACUUCUUUUGGAGAAGUCAGGUUGAAUUGCCCCUGAGGUAGGUUCAACCUUUCUUCCUAGAGAGGGUAUCAAAUGCAAAUUCUCUGGAGCGGAUUGAACUUUUGCAAACCAAAUUCGAAAUGCGGUUUUCAAAAUAGAUUUUGAAGAGUAGAGAUUUUGAGCUCUUGCAAACAUUUUAUACCUUUGUGCGAAUCCCUCUUGAUUGUACGGUGAAUCCUAUGACUCAAGAAAAAGUAAAUUUCGAAGAGCCUUCUCUUGGAAACACCAGAAACACAGUGCGAUGUAUGAACCAAGUUUUAGUAGUUAUCGCCUUGAUCCGUGUUUCUUCCUCUUUUAAAAUGUAUUCUGUUUAUCUACCUAAUUUGCAAUAACUAAAUAUACACUUGGAGCAAACUUGUUAGACACCUUAUUUGUUUUGUCAUUUAAUGACCAAAACCUUCAAAAAGGUUGAUUGUACUUACACCUUCGGCGGUUGCGCAGAGGAAAGCGGUUGCCCGACAGCGCUCCUCUCGGUAUGUUGGGCUUCUGCUUCUCCUUCGCAUUCGGCUCUUUCCCUUGUUCCAUGUUUUUUUGAGAUUCCUCUGGUUAGCAUGUACGUAUCGAGCAAGUCUGUGAACGACGCGGCUUUGGCGGCGAAGGGGGCGCCCCGUCCCCUCGGGUCCUCUUACUGCCGGCGCCGGAUGGGGCGGCUCCUUUCGCUGUCGCCUUCGUCCCACCAGCUGAGGCGGCGACUGCUCCUCGCGUGGCAGACGCUCCAGCCUCCUUGGUCGUCCUGGAGGUGCCAGGAGUGGUUGCCCCUGGUGCGGCCUUCUUUGAGCCGCCGCCUUCUGCACCUGGCCCGGGGCAGGUUUCGGUCGCCGAGGAAGUCGUUGUCGGCGCGCGCUCGGUGGCGGCAGGGUCGGUCGCCGGUCUGCCGCCGCCGCCCCCGCCCCGUGAAGGGGGUUCUGGGUUGGCGCUGUUGCCCGCGGAGGUCGCCGCGCCCUAGGUGCCACCGCCGCCUGCCGCUAUUGCCUUGACUUCCGCAGGUGCCGCGGUACCCAUGGGAUCUGAGGAAAUCCACGGGGGGCUUCCCCUCUCCCUCCCUGAAGGACGGGGGGCAGAGGCAGAAGAGUGGCAGCGGACCGAGUCAGCCUCGUCUCGGGCCAACUCGAGCUUAGAAACUAUCGAGCGCAUGUUCGGUAGCUUCGAGGAGGCGAUUUCGAUUGCUUGGGCGUCGAUGACGCGGGAUCUGAUUCCUUUUGGUUAGCGCCUCCUUAUGCGGUCGGUGGCUCGAGAGGAAGCGCUACUAGCCGCCCAACAGGAGGUGGAGCAGUUGCGUGCUGGGGCCAUUCGGCUCAGGGAGUGGGAGCGCGAGCUCACCACCCUUUGUUCUGAGGCUGUCCGGCUUCGGAGCGAGACGCCGCUCCUACGCGUGGAGCAUGACGAUGCUUAGGGCAACAUGGAUCACCUACGGGAGGAGGGGUCCCGACUCUAAGAGGCCCUCGAUGGGAUGAGCCUUGGGGCCGAGGGGGCCACGCCGAACCUUGGGGAGGUCGACGCCUGUCUAGGGGAGGCAAACUCGGAGCUCCAAAGGGAACGCAAUGCAACUGGAGAGCUCUAAAAGAUGAUUUCCCAAGCUGAGGUCGCCAGGAAGGCAGCAGAAGAGGCGAAGACGGUGGCAGAAGGAAGGAUACGAGAGCUCUCGCUUGCUUGUGAUGGCACCGUUGUUUCGAGACUCCAGGCGGAGACCUCACUUUCGGAGCGGAGCGCCGAGCUCCAAGUGCUUCACCCGAUCGUCGGCUCGGUGUGCACUCACCUUUCUUCUCCACCGCCGAUCGAGGUCCCUCUAAUCAAUCGGCUGCGAGCGCUGUCCGAUCAUGUGGAGCACGUGGUCGUCGAGGGAGCAUAUCACGGGAGCAUCCUUGCCCUGGGACAGAUGGUCUCCCAUUUCGAUGAAAUCGACUCUGGUGUGAUCGCGGAAGGCUUCGCCGCCGGUUGAAGUGACGAGGAGCUGGGUGCCAUUGAGGUGCAGGUCCAUCCCCACGCCCGGUCGAUCGUGGGCCGGGUCAAUGUGAAGUUCCUCCUGAUCGACCCCUGGAGCCUGGGACCACUCGCCGGUGGUCCGUCCACCCAUUCUUAGUCGGCGUUCAUUGUAAUGUUUUGUAAUGACUAUCUUUAGAUGUCCUGACUGUGAUCUUAUGUAUAAUAUUAUCUGUUUUAAACUCUGCAUCCUUCCUUUU